UAUUACUUAAAUAUUUUUUUAUUAUUGUUACCUUAUUUUGCUUUAUUUUAUGAUUCAACUGCUAUUGUCUAGCGGUAGCGAUGACUCUUCAACGUAAGGACUUGAAAGGUCGUUUCGUGCUGGGGUAGAGAGGAGAAGAAAGAAACCAAUGGCCAUCAGGACUUUUUUAUGGCAUGUUUCCGUGAUAAAUUGUCAAGUGCUUCUUCCUAGUCCAAACUGGAACUAAAGGACCAUGAGAAAAGAGUAUGAUACUCAUAGAACAACCCAGUUGCAGAAGUGAACCCAAAUUCAACCCAUUCCGGUAACACAUCUCUCAUAUCCACUUUACUCCAUAAAUUCUGCUUGAUCUUUGUCACGUUAUCCUUGUACCCAGUGAAUGUCACGGUUAGAUUAUUCGUAGCUGCAUUGUAAGUGAUAACCGCAUCAUAUCCUCUCUCAUCCCUGCUACUGAACCAUUCUGCAGUGAAAGCAGUGGCAAUAGAUUUAACAUCGAUGCCAACAUGAUCAUAGGGAGGAUCCCAAUCGUUGCCAAAGGUGUCAAACUCCACCGCCACAAACGGGUGUUCGUUUGUGUAGUUUGGAUUACUCAACUCAUAACGGCUGAGGAGACCAAUGCCGCUACCGUCUCUUGGAACUGGAAGUGGGAAAUUGGGCUCUGCUAGAUAGAAGGUGAUGCCGUCGCCAUCGUAGGAUUUGUUUGGAGUGUUGAUGGAGAAGCUGAAAUGGGUGGUGAAAUCUGUGACCUUGCCGGUUUUGUUGUCCCAAAGAUGGAGAGGUUUGUAAUAGGUAACUCUUCCGAGGCUGUCUUUCUUGUAUUCAGUGAGUUGGAGGGCUCCGUUAUCUUGAUACACAUCUCCGACAAUGUUUAAGGUAUUUAUGGUGUCACUGAAUCGCUUGUAGUUGAAUGCUAAUGGUGUUGCAUUAGAUAUAAGAGCCAACAGGAUUAUGAAUGUUACAUAAAAACACGCAAGUGCGUAAUUUGCUUCUGGGGAUGUCAUGUUUGUGGCUAAUUCUGAAUUCUGUGCUGAGGGCACUAGAUUAGAUAUUUCUUAUAAUCUUCAACAGUUCAACAUCGUUUUUGCGAGAUUUGACUUUAGGCGAA
This is a long non-coding RNA of Arachis stenosperma, 1102 nucleotides long. RefSeq lists it as uncharacterized. The record is from RefSeq and is a predicted model, not a curated record. Lineage: Eukaryota; Viridiplantae; Streptophyta; Magnoliopsida; Fabales; Fabaceae. The transcript has 2 exons.